This 253-nucleotide ribosomal RNA is filed under the name uncultured bacterium. RNAcentral's name for it is "partial 16S ribosomal RNA". It matches the Rfam family "Bacterial small subunit ribosomal RNA", at positions 524 to 776 of the family's 1533-position model. The record is from RNAcentral.
UACGGAGGGUGCGAGCGUUAAUCGGAAUUACUGGGCGUAAAGCGUACGUAGGCGGUUUGUUAAGUCGGAUGUGAAAUCCCCGGGCUCAACCUGGGUGCUGCAUUCGAUACUGGCAGACUUGAAUACGGUAGAGGGGGGUGGAAUUCCAGGUGUAGCGGUGAAAUGCGUAGAGAUCCGGAGGAACACCAGAGGCGAAGGCGGCCUACUGGGUCAGUACUGACGCUGAGCCGCGAAAGCCAGGGGAGCGAACGGG